GGAUGUGGCUCAGUGGUAGAGCGCCUGCCCAGCAAGUGUGAGGCCCUGGGUUCAAUCCCUAGCACCA
Molecule: transfer RNA, 67 nt
Filed under: Marmota monax (woodchuck)
Lineage: Eukaryota; Metazoa; Chordata; Mammalia; Rodentia; Sciuridae
Description: tRNA.Ala
Rfam family: tRNA
About the family: Transfer RNA (tRNA) molecules are approximately 80 nucleotides in length.
Source: RNAcentral